This 376-nucleotide unclassified non-coding RNA is filed under the name soil metagenome. RNAcentral's name for it is "partial contains 5.8S ribosomal RNA, internal transcribed spacer 2, and large subunit ribosomal RNA". The stretch from base 1 to 120 matches the Rfam family "5.8S ribosomal RNA", at positions 35 to 154 of the family's 154-position model. The record is from RNAcentral.
GAUGAAGAACGUAGCGAAAUGCGAUAAGUAAUGUGAAUUGCAGAAUUCAGUGAAUCAUCGAAUCUUUGAACGCAUCUUGCGCUCCUUGGUAUUCUGAGGAGCAUGCCUGUUUGAGUGUCAUUAAAUUCUCAACUACCCUGACUUUGAAUUGGUGUGGCUUGGAUUUGGGGGGAAAAUUGUUGUGGGCUUUUUGUAUAGUCUGCUCCCCUGAAAUUGAUUAGCGGUACCUUUGUGGAACUGUCUACAGGUGUGAUAAUUAUCUACAUCUUAGACAUCUGCUGGAAUGCUGCUUUCUAAACCUUACUUGUAUUGACAAUCUUGACCUCAAAUCAGGUAGGACUACCCGCUGAACUUAAGCAUAUCAAUAAGCGGAGGA